Molecule: transfer RNA, 60 nt
Filed under: Erinaceus europaeus (western European hedgehog)
Lineage: Eukaryota; Metazoa; Chordata; Mammalia; Eulipotyphla; Erinaceidae
Rfam family: tRNA
About the family: Transfer RNA (tRNA) molecules are approximately 80 nucleotides in length. Their secondary structure includes four short double-helical elements and three loops (D, anti-codon, and T loops).
Source: Rfam by way of RNAcentral
AUAGCUCAACUGGUAGAGCACAUGACUUGCAUUCUUGAAGUUCCUGGUUCGAUUCCUAGU